UUAUUCGCUGACAUUUGUUUUCCAAUUGCGUGAAAUUUGGUCAUUUCCUUAGUGUUUCGCUGACCGACCUGUGCUGGUAUUGUGAUUAAGGGCUAAUACACAUUUUUCGGACGAUUCUGCUGUGCUGCGUUCCUGCUCCGCCUGUAUAUUGCUCCGCCCGUAUUUUAUAGUGUUGCGUUCCUGUUGCGCCUUUGCAUUAGUGUGUGCGUUGUGAUUUAGACACGUUGAAAUUUUUUGUAUGCUUCUGCUGUGCUGCGUUCCUGCUCCACCCGUGUAUUAGAUUGCUGCGUUCCUGUUAACAUACAUAUCGUCGCUUAAAGUACAAAACCGCGUAACUGACAUUUGCUGCUAAAAAUUGGAUUCGCUCACACACGUUUUUGGAUCAAUCCUUAUCCAUUCUUCCUGAAAUAUA
Long non-coding RNA from Rhagoletis pomonella (apple maggot), 412 nucleotides. RefSeq lists it as uncharacterized. NCBI's taxonomy places the organism in Eukaryota, Metazoa, Arthropoda, Insecta, Diptera, Tephritidae. The transcript has 4 exons. The record is from RefSeq and is a predicted model, not a curated record.